RNAcentral lists this ribosomal RNA (457 nucleotides) under forest soil bacterium 2S2.D1. Its description in RNAcentral is "bacterial SSU rRNA". It matches the Rfam family "Bacterial small subunit ribosomal RNA", at positions 123 to 575 of the family's 1533-position model. The record is from RNAcentral.
GAUCUGCCUGGUAGUGGGGGAUAACGUUCGGAAACGGACGCUAAUACCGCAUACGUCCUACGGGAGAAAGCAGGGGACCUUCGGGCCUUGCGCUAUCAAAUGAGCCUAGGUCGGAUUAGCUAGUUGGUGGGGUAAUGGCUCACCAAGGCGACGAUCCGUAACUGGUCUGAGAGGAUGAUCAGUCACACUGGAACUGAGACACGGUCCACACUCCUACGGGAGGCAGCAGUGGGGAAUAUUGGACAAUGGGCGAAAGCCUGAUCCAGCCAUGCCGCGUGUGUGAAGAAGGUCUUCGGAUUGUAAAGCACUUUAAGUUGGGAGGAAGGGCCAUUACCUAAUACGUGAUGGUUUUGACGUUACCGACAGAAUAAGCACCGGCUAACUCUGUGCCAGCAGCCGCGGUAAUACAGAAGGUGCAAGCGUUAAUCGGAAUUACUGGGCGUAAAGCGCGCGUAGU